GGGCGCAUGGUUUAGUGGUAUAACACUCCCUUAGCAUGACUUGAUUGGUCAGCAAGGAUUGGGAGAGGUCUAGGGUUCGAUUCCCUAUGUGUCCA
Molecule: transfer RNA, 95 nt
Filed under: Coniella lustricola
Lineage: Eukaryota; Fungi; Ascomycota; Sordariomycetes; Diaporthales; Schizoparmaceae
Rfam family: tRNA
About the family: Transfer RNA (tRNA) molecules are approximately 80 nucleotides in length. Their secondary structure includes four short double-helical elements and three loops (D, anti-codon, and T loops). Further hydrogen bonds mediate the characteristic L-shaped molecular structure. tRNAs have two regions of fundamental functional importance: the anti-codon, which is responsible for specific mRNA codon recognition, and the 3' end, to which the tRNAs corresponding amino acid is attached (by aminoacyl-tRNA synthetases). tRNAs cope with the degeneracy of the genetic code in two manners: having more than one tRNA (with a specific anti-codon) for a particular amino acid; and 'wobble' base-pairing, i.e. permitting non-standard base-pairing at the 3rd anti-codon position.
Source: Rfam by way of RNAcentral